UCACAGGGCAGUCCGAUGGACCCAAUGGUGAUGAAGAGACCUCAGUUGUAUGGGAUGGGCACUCACCCCCAUUCGCAGCCGCAGCAGAGCAGCCCAUACCCAGGAGGUGCCUACGGCCCCCCAGGCGCACAGCGGUAUCCCCUUGGCAUGCAGGGCCGGGCUCCAGGGGCCCUGGGAGGCUUGCAGUACCCACAGCAGCAGAUGCCACCGCAGUAUGGACAGCAAGGUGUGAGUGGUUACUGCCAGCAAGGCCAGCAGCCAUAUUACAACCAGCAGCCACAGCCCUCGCACCUCCCGCCCCAGGCACAGUACCUACAGCCACAGUCCCAGCAGAGGUACCAGCCACAGCAGGACAUGUCUCAGGAAGGCUAUGGAACUAGAGCUCAGCCUCCUCUGGCCCCUGGAAAAUCCAACCACGAAGACUUGAAUUUAAUACAACAGGAAAGACCAUCGAGUCUACCAGUAAGACAUUACUGUGCUGAUUGGAAAACAUAAUGAGUUAAAGGGUUCUGAAAACA
RNAcentral lists this long non-coding RNA (518 nucleotides) under Rattus norvegicus (Norway rat). RNAcentral describes it as "long non-coding RNA NONRATT000161". The record is from RNAcentral. Lineage: Eukaryota; Metazoa; Chordata; Mammalia; Rodentia; Muridae.